UAUAUUUAUUUUUUUAAUAGUAUAAUUUACUUUCUUUCAUGAGAUUUUUGUUUUAUUGUCUGAAGUUUCCAAUAUUUAAAAAAUUUGUAAAAAUAAAAUGCAGUUUUAGUAACAUAAUUAAACUUCUUUUAAAUAAAAUUACUUGCUUUGUUUACAGAGAAAUUCAUUUCUAGAUUUUAAAAGUUAUGUACCUUUGAACUUUUCCCUGGGUUGAUGUUUUGAUACAGGAGCAGAAAAAUAUCCAAAUACAACAUUCAGAUGGGUUGAUGUCAGAGAUGUUGCCAAUGCACACAUUUAUGCCUUUGAGAAUCCUUCAGCUUCUGGAAGACAUUGUUUAGUUGGGUCAGUUGUACACUCUUCUGAGACUCUGGAGAUUUUGCACAAACUUUUCCCUGAACUCAAGCUUCCUAAAGAAUGCGCAGAUGACAAGCCCCCUUCGACGAAAUAUCAAGUAUCCAAAAAGAAAGCGGAGAGUCUAGGCGUCAAGUUUACUCCUCUCGACGUAAGUUUGAAGGACACUGUUGAAAGCUUGAAGGAGAAGAACUUAGUUAGCUUUUGACUUGGAUUAUUUUACAUGCUAGUCAGAAACCUGCAACUUAUUUUAUUUAGUCAUUGAUGCUGGCCACAGUUGAGGCCUUCAUGUUUAGGAAUUAAGCACCAGGGCUGAUGUACCUGCAGCUGGAAAAAAUAUUAGUUUGUACUAGGCAAAAAGCUUCUUUAAACCUUUGACAAAUUUCCAAUUGUUGUUUAAACUCA
Long non-coding RNA from Manihot esculenta (cassava), 756 nucleotides. RefSeq lists it as uncharacterized. NCBI's taxonomy places the organism in Eukaryota, Viridiplantae, Streptophyta, Magnoliopsida, Malpighiales, Euphorbiaceae. The transcript has 2 exons. The record is from RefSeq and is a predicted model, not a curated record.